Molecule: long non-coding RNA, 1224 nt
Filed under: Salmo salar (Atlantic salmon)
Lineage: Eukaryota; Metazoa; Chordata; Actinopteri; Salmoniformes; Salmonidae
Description: lncRNA (ENSSSAG00000100125.1)
Source: RNAcentral
AUUAUAAUGAGCUGUCCUCCCCUCAGCAGCCUUCACUGGUAUCAAGAAUUGUUCACCACCGAAAGGACAUCCAGCCAACUUGAACUGACUGUGGAAAUUGAAGUCAACAUGGGGAUGCUGACUCCAAGGCUUCCCACAGUUGUGUCAAGUUGGAUGGCUGUCCUUUGGGUGGUGGACCAUUCUUGAUACACACGUGAAACUGUUGAGUGUGAAAAACCCACCAGCGUUGCAGUUCUUGACACAAACCGGCCUGGCACCUACUACCAUACCCCGCUCAAAAGGCACGUAAAUAUUUUGUUUUUCCCAAUCGAUGUCUCAAUUGUCUCAAGGCUUAAAAAUCCUUCUUUAAUCUGUCUCCUCCCCUUCAUCCACAAUGCUUGAAGUGGAUUUAACAAGUGACAUAAAUAAGGGAUCAUAACUUUCACCUGAAUUCACCUGGUCAGUCUUUGUCAUGGAAAGAGCAGGUGUUCAUAAUGUUUUGUUUUGUACACUCUGUGUAUAUACAUACACACAAACAUACAUACAUUUGCACACAUACAUUUUUUUAUGAUUUUAAAAAAAAAUUAUUUCACCUUUAUUUAACCAGGUAGGCAAGUUGAGAACAAGUUCUCAUUUACAAUUGCGGCCUGGCCAAGAUAAAGCAAAGCAGUUCGAACAACAUACAAAAACACAGAGUUACACAUGGAGUAAAACAACAUACAAUCAAUGAUACAGUAGAAAAAUAAGACUAUAUACAAUGUGAGCAAAUGAUGUGAGAUAAGGGAGGUAAAGGCAAAAAAAGGCCAUGGUGGCAGAGUAAAUACAGUGUAGCAAGUAAAACACUGGAAUGGUAGAUUUGUUAUUUGAAGAAAGUUCAAAGUUAAAAUAUAAAUAAUAUGGUGCAAAGGAGAAAAAUAAAUAAAAUAAAUAAAUACAGUAGGGGAAGAGGUAGUAGUUUGGGCUAAAUUAUAGAUGGGCUAUGUACAGGUGCAGUGAUCUGUGAGCUGCUCUGACAGCUGGUGCUUAAAGCUAGUGAGGGAGAUAAGUGUUUUUAACACCGUUUUAUGCAAUCAAGUGUCCUUUCUAUAAUCUUUGUUGAAAUUGACUGCAUGAUAGUGUUGAAGGCAAGGUGCACAGAGCAAUGUUUAUUAUUAAAACUUUUAUUUUACAAAUAAUAUGUAAUAGUCUGUUUAGCCUGGGUGCCAGUCUGUUUCUACUCUCUUGCCAACUCCUUAUGUAAUUGCC